AUAACUUACACCGUUCAUCAAAGUCGUACCACCGAUUUGGUCGUUGAUAUUGGCUAGUAGUAUAUCAUUUUCCCGUCGAAACUUCCGCUUCUGGUGUCGCUUGCGAGACUCGCCGUAGUAACCGUUCACGAUAUCAGCCGUGAUCGCAGCGAAUCGCGAGUCGUCGCGCAAAUACGCACGAUUAUCUUUACCGAAUGACGCGACGAACUUAUUCGUCACGUGGUUAACUCGUUUUAACGCACUCGUUCGUCUUUGUGAGAUUCGAUCGACGUCAAUUCCUGUCCCGUCGGGUUGAUCCGAUGAGUCGGAAAUUUCGUACUCGUUCAAGCCAUGCUGUAUCAAUUCCCGAGGAUCAUCGGGAACUCUUCGAGAAUAUUUUCUACCCGCGGUGUCGACCAGGCAGUCAGUUGUCAGAAGAGUGGAGAUUCCGAAGUCUAAAGCAGAGAUGGUGGGCCUCUCGACCUCCUGACCUACCACACCACACCACACCACACCACGUGAACUCGAGCUUCUUUGUGCUUGGUUUGUUUCCUUGCGAAGAACAGAUGAAAGAAAGAGAACGUAAAUGUAGACUAAUGGUAGCGUUACGUUGGUAAGUAAAGGGCAACUGAGAAGCAAAUAAAGAAAUGACAUUCGUGUACAUGUAGAGAGAGUUGCGUAACGUUUCCAACCGUUAUCGACAUAUUACUCGUUGUCCAUUAAAUUUUUCGUCACAGCAUGGUAUACAGCCUCCAAAGUUUUUUUUCCCCUGAAAAGCUAUAUUACGGCAUUGAGAAAACGCUAUAAUAAUCGUUAGAUGGGUGAGGUAAUUUGUUUAUGGCUGAAGGUGCAAACACGAGAUCAGUUCUUUUACUAAUGGUGCGAGGAUUCCCGCGAGGAUAAACCGAAGCGGUAAAGAAAAAUAUUUUAAAAAGUCAAUCAGUUAUGCAACCUUCCUUGCCUUCUUUAAGCUUUGUAGCAGAAAUAAGUUUGUAGCAAAAGAUGCACGCUGUUGAUGGAUCGUACGAGCCAUAUGAUUGCUUUUGCGUAUCUGGAAACAGAAUAUGCCAUUCCCUCGGGGUAUCGGAACAGGGAUUACUACUCUCGAAUUCAAUACUACGUUCAUCUCGUUCAUGUUCGAUACACGUUUAUGGCAGUUUCGCGAGAUUUGUUCGUUUGCGGCGGAUGUUCCGGGAUCGUCACCGCGUUAGCGACGUCUAAGCAUAAAAAUGAAUAGAAAACGGAUAAUCUAUGUACAGUAGAAACUGAGGAGCGAUGAUUUAAAAAUGUAAUUUGAUGAUGAAUUGUUGCUUGAGGACGGGAAUUACGAAAAAUCGAGAAACCAGCGUAUUCCACAGAAUGGUUUCUCUUAAUUUUUAAAUUAUCCUGAGAUAAACGUAUCUAUUCUUCUCGCAUACCAUACAUUUCGAAUAAUAAGGCUAGGAAAACUUGGAACGAAAAAACGAAAGAGAAUCCCGAAGAAAAAGGCAAGCAGACUUUCUGCUGCUACUACUAGAGUAGAAAAAAGUUCAUUAAUUUUUACCAAAGUUUUCUUCAUACCGUAGCAAUUUCUUGUUUCUAAAACGGUAAACGCGAAUUAUGAUCUAUAACAUCAA
RNAcentral lists this unclassified non-coding RNA (1595 nucleotides) under Bombus terrestris (buff-tailed bumblebee). RNAcentral describes it as "misc RNA ENSBTSG00005032983.1". The record is from RNAcentral. Lineage: Eukaryota; Metazoa; Arthropoda; Insecta; Hymenoptera; Apidae.